This 72-nucleotide transfer RNA is filed under the name Yarrowia lipolytica. RNAcentral's name for it is "tRNA-Thr". It matches the Rfam family "tRNA". From Rfam's summary of the family: Transfer RNA (tRNA) molecules are approximately 80 nucleotides in length. Their secondary structure includes four short double-helical elements and three loops (D, anti-codon, and T loops). Lineage: Eukaryota; Fungi; Ascomycota; Dipodascomycetes; Dipodascales. RNAcentral also lists the same sequence under 5 other names. The record is from RNAcentral.
GCCUUUGUAGCUUAGGGGUAGAGCGUUGCACUUGUAAUGCAAAGGUCACUGGUUCGAUUCCAGUCUGAGGCA